UGGCAGGCUACAGUCGACGGGGUUGCAAAAAGUAGGACACGACUGAGCGACUAAACACAUGGUCAGCUAUGGUGGAGCUUUAUUCAGAGAGCAUCCUAAAUUCUGAAUCUGUCUUAAGAUGAUCACAUACUUCAACAUGAAGACUAAACUUGAAACAUACUACAAAAGACAAGGACUCCUUUACCCUAAACACAUAAGUGAGGUUUGAAUGAAAAUGACUGUGAAGUACGGUAAUCUAGCAACUAUGAGAAAUGUCACCCAGAAGAUGAGAAUGAUUUAGAGAUGCAACAUGUUGCUCUUCUUCAUAGAGGACACAGAGGAUCAUCCAAGGUGGCCUUCUCAUCCUCCUCCUAUCCACCCACCUCACCAUGGGUCUGCAUCCUGAAUGAACGUGUUCCUCAAAGACAGUAACUCCCACACACCAAGCGGUAUCUAGCUGUGUGGGUGAGAUAUUCUCCAGCCUCUCCAAAGCUGUGUAGAUAAGUCUGGCUGAAGGUACUGCCGCCAUCAUCUGGGGUGUGCUGUUUGUUCCUACAGGAGGUUCUCCAUCCCUGCUAAGUCACCUGUGUUGGCAACACUUCUCGCCUGGGGUGAGCCUCCGUUGGGCCUCGCAUAAGAGCCCCUGCGCCACUCCUCGCUUCAGGCAGUGGACAGUGUGGGCUGGUCCCGCCGUGAGCCACAGCCACAGCUUCGUCCUCCUGAGGGCCAGUGAGAAGCCUGACCUCAUGUCAUGGGGGGAAAGCAGUCUAAAAACCCUGGGUCUUUUUAGGUUCUGUGUGACUCCACUCCAUGGACCCGCUCUGGUUUCUGAGACUGUCUCAGUUAAAAGAUUAGUAGCUGUGGUUUCUAUUUAGGAACGCAGUCUACCAUGUGAUGCGAUGUCCAUCUUUCCCUCAAGCAAGCCAAAAGGAAAAAAAAUGGUGCAGGUGUUCUUAAGUUCUCAGAAAUUCUAGGAUUGAGCAAUGCCCUUCAUGGAUUGGCUGACCAACAGGAUAUGGGAAUUUAGGAAAGCUGCAGAUGAGGAAUCUUUCAUAAACAAACAAACAAAAAAUGGAACUUGAACUACUGGGAGUGAUGGUAUGGAUGAGAAAGAAUGUAGUCAUUUCAUCCUUGACCAAGACGGUAACAUCCUCUCUCAAUAAAGGAUUAUAGGCAAUGGAUUAACCAGUUAAUGGGUUAGCUAAUAGAAGAAACCAGGAAAAUGUCCAAACAGAUUUACCAGCCAUUAAGACUGGAGCAGUUGUAGCAUCCUUUCAAAAGCUGACCACUCAAAGAUUGCUCUGUAAUUACUCCAUUUCUUUUCUUUGGAGUUCCUUUUCCUACAUGGAAAUUGCUACUAAUGGAACUAAGGAAAAGCAUUCAUGUCCUCUCCUGGACAAGACCGAAAAAAGCAGUCUCCCUUUCCUGAGUGGCGAGCAUGAUGGCCAACUACAAGUAUCAAAGAUGGAGAGCCAGGGGGUGGAGGAGAAAAGCGGGGCUUCUCACGUACCUGCUUGAAUAUAUUCAUUUCCACAGAUCCCAUUUCUAAAGAGUUUUAAAGGGUUGGUGAUUUGAUUUUUUUUAAUUAAUUUUAUUGGUUUUGCCAUAUAUCAACAUGAAUCUGCCACAGGUAUAUACGUGUUCCCCAUCCUGAUUUGAUUUUUAAAUGGUAAAGAAAUUCCUUCAAAGGUAUAAUUAGGAGGUCAGAGGUAUUCUGGGCAUAAAAGGUUGGCCCAGCCCCAGGACAGAACCAUUUACCUUAUGGGACCUUGUCUGGUUAGAGGAAGUCCUGACUGACUCCUGUGAGUGAUCUUCCUACUUAGGAGUGUGGGGCUUUAUUCACUUGGCUUUGGGGCUUAACCCAAAUCACUGACUCAAUGGACAUGAGUUUGAGUAGGCUCCGGGAGUUGCUGAUGGACAGAGAAGCCUGGUGUGCUGCAGUCCAUGGAGUUGCAAGGAGUCAGACGUGACUGAGUGACUGAACUGAACUGACUUGGGGCUUAACAGGACAGAACCCAGGAGCUGACACUGCCAGCCUUGGUACUCGUGGCUGCGUCAUUAGUGAAUUGUUUGACAUUUUAGCAGGCACUGGCAUGUGAAUUUGGGGUUUUAUAGACCAGAUAUCAAUAUUUUAGCAAUCUUUGUAAGAAGUUCUUUUCCUUUGCCAAAUAUUUGAGAGGAAAAAUUCUCCUGAAAUGUUAAAAUAAAAAAUUUUAAAGGAGAAAGCAACAUUUUAUUGCUUAAUGGAAAGAAGAAACUAAUCUGAAAGUUUGGACUUCUGGAUGUGCGUGAGUCCUAUUUUGCACAUUGCACAUUGCUAAUUCUUAUACCAUUUCUGACUUGAGAUCUAAGUCUAAACUUAGACACUUUGAAUUACUCAGAUAAUGGAUGUGACUGUAUCUCCGUAGGAUGGCUGUGGUAUUUUGAGUAUAGUGUUGAAUUAUUUUGAUCAUUCAUGUUAAUACAUUCAUUCAGUGUAUUGUGAUGCUCUCUUUCUCAUCCACUCUCAUGUUUCUCUGUAUCCUAAAGAACAUUUAUGUCUCAAGAGAUUAUCAUAGGUAUUUUUGUUGGAAGAAAGGAGAAUUAGAGGACUGUCUAUAGAAAGAAAGAAAGAAAGUGAAGUCGCUCAGUUGUGUCCAAGUCUUUGCGACCCCAUGGACUGUAGCCUACCAGUCUCCUCCCUUCAUGGGAUUCUCCAGGCAAGAGUACUGGAGUGGGGUGCCAUUUCCUUCUCCAGGGGAUCUUCCCGACCCAGGGAUCGAACCCGGGUCUCCCACAUUCCAGGCAGACGCUUUAACCUCUGAGCCACCAGGGAAGCCCUGAGGACUGUCUAUAGUCACCCUAAAUUUGAGAAACUAUGGCUUAAACAAAAAUUAAACAGAUUUCUUUGCAGAAAGACUUCUCCAAAGUCUUCAAUACACUAUGUGUAUGCUUUGAAUUGCUAUCACUUCCCUCUCUCUCUCUCUCUUUUUUUUUUGGGGGGGGGGAGGGUAGAAUAUCUGUUAAUGUUAUUCAGGAUACUUUUCCUAUAAGAAAUUUGGGAAAUACUAUUCAGUUUAAUCAAGAUGCAGUUGGUUUAAUCAUAGCUAGAGGAUUUUGGCCUCUCACCAGAUGACUGUAAAAGUAAAGCCCUAGAACAACUAUUAUCUCCUUUUUUGGAAGGUCAUAUGAGAGAGAUAUCUAUUUGUCUCAGAGUGUAUCAUAUGCCCUUUUAAAGAAAGAGGAAAAUGAUCCAGGGGACCCCUGAAGGGCCCUGUAAUUCUCUGGCUUUAGGAUGCAGACUUUUAGAACAUUUUAUCAAUUAAUAUACCUUUGUAAAGGUUAGACUAAAUCUUAAAAAGCAUCUUUGUUAUCUACUCUUUUAUAACAAUUUCUCCAACAAAGUAGUGGUUAAAACAACAAUGAUAUUCUAUCAGCAUUUGCAUGAGUCAGCACUUCAGGAGUGGUUUAGCUGGAUUGUUCUGGCUAAGAGUCUCUAUGAAGUCGCAGUUAGGAUAUAGGCAGAGACUUCCGUCAUCUUCAGGCUCGACUGGGCUUGGAAGAUCUGCUUCUGAACGGUUUACCUAUGUCUGUUGGCAGACGAGCUCCGUUCCUCACCACGUGGGCCUCUGCUUAGGCUGCUUGAGUGUCCUCAGGACAUGACCGGUAGCUUCAUCGACUGCGAGUGCUCUGAGAGAGAAAGUGAAGAGGAAGCCUUUGCCCUUUUAAGAUCUAGUCUCUGAAGUUGUGUACUGUCACUUCCGCCCUAUGCUAUUUUUUAGAAGUGAGUCACUAAGUCUGCUAAAUCAAGGGGGGAGAUUUAGGUUUCAGUCAUUUAUGGAAGAAGGUCAGUGAAUGGGAGCAUAUUUUAAAGCCAAUACAGAAGGUUGAAAUAAUAAGGACACGAGAAGGGGCAAGAUAGGGCAGUGCCAGAAUUAUUUAGCUCAGCUCUCUGUGACAUGGUCAAGGGUCUGCAUUCUUUCCCCUUUCUGUUCCGCCACGUUUGGUGCCUUGACUUUGUGUUCCAGUUGGGCCCACACAGAGUUGCCAGAUGACUGGACAAGUACUGGCUACCAUAUCCAGUCAUAACAUCCAGCAGGAAAAAUGGUUUUGUCUUCCUUGUGACGUGAUUUUUGGGUAAGAAAACCUUUUCUGGAAGCCUUCAAUGAUUUCCUGUCUUAACUACCUGACCAGAACUGUAUCACCUACUCAAAUUAUAGGCAAGGGGAGUGGCAUUGCCGUGAAUGGCUGACAUAAAUCGGGAUGCGUUCCUGAGCUAGAGAUCAGGAAGCUUGUCCUCAGGUGGACACUGAAGUAAAUUAAGAGUUCCCUUUGCAAGAAAGAGAGGGAAACACUAUAAGCUGUUAGUUAGCUUUGGAUCCGUGAUCUCCUUCCAUGACGGUCUUCACCAUGCCUUGUGAGCAGGACAAGAGUGCCUCUUCUGUAGAAUGUAAAGGGUUAUACUUUAGACAGAAGCUCAAGUCCAAGUAGCCCCUCAGUAACUUUUAAUAUAAUGUUCAUUCUAGUUAAAAUAAGUAAAAAUUCAGAAAAUAUAAUCUCAAAAUACAUCUUUAAUAAUAUUCAGUGUUGGUGGAAGAGAGGGGUCAGAGAUUAAAGCCACUACUGACAAGGGAAUCAUGUCAUUGUUGGGGAAGUAAAGUGGGCUGUGUCUUCUCCUUUGGUCUUAGUAACCGAUACAGUAAAUUUGUCAUCUGUCCUUAUGGGAGUCUAACAUCUAAAGGGAAGUUUUGAGAUGUGUGUUACAAGGUCUAGUAUUGCAUGGAUUGUCGUACAUUUGCUCGCCCGCCUUUUCACACCCCCCGUUCCUUCCACUGCUCUUGCUCAGAGACUGCGGCAGGCCACUGGGGCCAUAGGCCGAUGCUCUUGCCUCUCUGUUAUCCUGAGCCCUGCAGAGCUAUUCAGGGUGAUUUCAGCAUCGCUCACCCAAAGCAUAUCUCCACAGCAGUUCAUUCGUCAUGUUUCAUCUGUGCUCUGUUUUAGUCAUUUCAUGGAGUUUUUACAAUUGCUCGACAGUUUCUCAAGACAAAUUCAGGGGAACAGAAGAAAGAGGAAAGAGUAGAAAUAAUCUUCUCCUGGGAGAAAGGCUAAACUUGCUUAGGUACAAAGAUAUUUGUUUAGAUACUUUGCAUUUAAUAGGUUUUUUUUUUUUUUUCCCUUUCUUUCUCUCACUCUUUCUGCCUUUCUUUCUUUUCUUUCUUUCACUUAUUUGGCUUUGAGGUCUCUGAGGGCUUCUGUUUCCCUAUCAUUCAGGGGGCAAGUGAAUGACUGGGAGUGGAAAACUCUGUCUGGCACACAGAAAUUGCCUUGACAAAUUGAAUAACAGCAGAUCCAAGACACAUAAUUAAUUCCUUAAAGAUUUUGCCUGAACUGAAAAUGUAUAAAGAUUGGUGUGCAGAUUUCUCAUUUCCUACAGAAUAUUGUGUCAGUCAUACACAUGCUAAGAGAAGGAAAGGAAGAUUUCUAUUUAAAGUCAACUUGACAGUGAUCGGGGAAUUUAACUUCAAAGUGUCUAAAUAUUUGUGGCCAGCUUAAGCUCCUCCUUACCAGCUCAAGCUCCCAGGUAAAGAAUCGGCCUGCAAAGCAGGAGACCUGGGUUCAAUCCCUGGGUCAGAAAGAUCCUCUGGUGAAGGGAAUGGCAAUCCACUCUAGUAUUUUUGCCUGGAGAUUUCUGUGGACGAGCAGCCUGGUGGACUACAGUCCAUGGGGUAACCCGCAAAGAGCUGGACACGACUGAGCGAUUAACACUUUCUAACAAGCUCCUUAGAUGUGGUGAGGAAAGUCCCUUAUUGGAGCCAGGCCUCUGCAGAGGUGGCUGUAGGUGUUGGCUCCAGAAGCUCUCAGGCUGAUUUCAUGGGGGGUCGAGGAGGGGGGUGGAGGGAGUGGAGACUUGGGGACUCCCUAACCCAUUGGCUUUUCCCUUUAAAAUGGAUUGGCAAAAUUCCUUAGUAUCCUUCUGUUUGCCUUUCUUUGGAUCAUAUAUUUGCUCUAAAUACCAUAGCACUUCAUAAAAUAUUCACAUUAUUUCACAAUUACAUAUAAUAUUUUGUCAAGAUUAAUUCGGAACCAAAGGCAUUGUAGGGCCCCCUAAGAAAGUUAAGCUGCUGGCAAAGACAGAAAUAAAUGUGUAAUAUAAAAUGUUGCACCAUUUGCUGAAUGUUCCUUUUCCUUUUGUUGUGGAGAGGGUGGGAGCACCUCUACCAUAUUGGCCCUGAUUGGCUCAGACUCUUGGUAAGAACAUCUAUGUCUGUCUGUCAUUUAUCUCUCUCUCUCUAAUGGAAAAUAUACUUAUAAUAGAAAAUAUGCAUAUAAAGAGUUCUGCAUUAGAUAUAGCUCUAGAAUAAGUUUUGUUUGUUUGUUUGUAACUGGAAUACAUGCUCCAGUGAGAUUUUUCAGUGACUAUAUAAGCUGGGUUCAUUUUAAGGAAUAAACUUCUGUUUUUUAACGUCUAUGUUUGUUCUUUCCUAAAUGGGCCACCUGAGAAUGAGCCUGUGGUCUAUGGGUUCUCUGUCCCCCUUUUUACAGUUGCCUCCCUCCACUUUACUGAUUCUAAAUUUGACCAUGAUGCCUUGCUCAGGACUCAGGACUUGAAUGUCAAGGUACCGAAGGGAGAAUUUGAGACUUCACAACUCAUAAGGAAGCAUUGUGUGAGGAAAAUAAAGAGAAACUUCUAGUGGAAAGAUCUGAAAGGAGAAACACAUUAUUUGCUUCAGGCUUCAGACUCAAGGAAAGGCUCCAUACCUUCCCUAUUUCUUUCAGAACUUGAAUUCAGAAUCAGUUGGUUAACCCAGAGACACAGAUUAAUAUAUGCAUUUCAAUUAAAUAUAAAGUCAGACUUUUUUUUGCUGACAAAAAUGGUCUGUUUUGCCUAAUUGAUUUGAAACUGAGAACUUUGCCAUUUUCCUUUUAAGGAUACACAGUUUCUAUAAAUUAAAAUAGCUAAAUCUGAAGCUUCAAGAUUUUGAGGAAUAUAUUUAAAGCAUGUAUAUUGUAUGCCAGAAAUCACAACAUUUUCAACGAUUUAAAUUUAUGAUAAAAAUUCUAGAUGUUAGAAAUCUGUGGCAUGUAGAUAGUUUGCAAACUUCUUUUAGGGGAUGUUUGGGCAAAAGUAUUUGAAGACUACUGCCUGAGAGUGUCAUAUUAUCUUAGGGCGGGGCAGAACAGGAGGAGUCCAUCACAAAAUUGUCCAGAAAGGAAGUCUCUGGCGUCUGGGCCUUCUCCUCUCUCUGCUCUGCCUUUCCUUUGAAGCUCUCCUCACAGAGGUCUCUGGCAGCCAGCGUUCCCCAGUCCAGUUUCUAUAGUCCUUGCUGCUGCUAAGUCGCUUCAGU
This is a long non-coding RNA of Bubalus bubalis (water buffalo), 7304 nucleotides long. RefSeq lists it as uncharacterized. The record is from RefSeq and is a predicted model, not a curated record. Lineage: Eukaryota; Metazoa; Chordata; Mammalia; Artiodactyla; Bovidae. The transcript has 3 exons.